AUGGAGACACUGGCGAGCGUCAUGCGGCGGGACAACCGCCGCUUCAAGCCCCCGCCCUCCUCCUCCUCCGCCGCCGCCUCCGCCGGCAGGGCCCCCCUCGUCAUGGCCUUCCUCGCCUGCCUCGCCUGGGUGUACGUCGCCGGCCGGCUAUGGCAGGACGCGCAGACCCGGGCGGUCCUCUCCGGCCUCCUGCAGAAGAGCACCAGCAAUCUCCCCAAGGAGAUCUCGGUGGACGACAAGCUGAGGGACCUCGGAUGCACUGGGAUUGGGAGGAAGAUCGCCGAGGCGGAGAUGGACAUUGCCAAGGCCAAGAGCGAGGGCUACUUGUGGGGGAAUGGGACUGGUGGUACUGGUACUGAGGGUUCCAGCAGGAAGAAGUUCCUUGCGGUCAUUGGAGUUUACACUGGCUUUGGCUCCCGGCUCAAGAGGAACACCUUCCGCGGCUCCUGGAUGCCCAGAGGUGAUGCUUUAAAGACGCUUGAGGAAAAGGGUGUGGUUAUUCGUUUUGUUAUUGGCCGAAGUCCUAAUCGAGGUGAUAGCUUGGACCGUAAUAUCAAUGAAGAAAACAGAAAGACAAAUGAUUUCUUGAUUCUGGAAAGUCACGAGGAAGCUGCAGAGGAAUUACCUAAAAAAGUUAAGUUUUUCUUCAGUGCAGCAAUAGAAGCUUGGGAUGCAGAGUUCUACGUCAAGAUUGACGAUAACAUUAAUCUUGACUUGGCUGGGUUAAUUGAGAUGCUUAACGUCCGUCGAGGUAGCCAUGGGUUGUACAUGGGCUGCAUGAAAUCAGGAGCUGUCGUUAGUGAAGAGGAGCAACAAUGGUAUGAACCUGAAUGGUGGAAAUUUGGAGAUUCAAGGACGUAUUUUCGCCAUGCUGCUGGUUCUUUAUUUAUCCUCUCAAACAAUUUGGCUCGGUACAUCAACAUAAACAGUGCAUCGCUGCAGAGCUAUGCGCAUGAUGACAUAUCAGUUGGUUCAUGGAUGAUGGGGCUUAAUGCCACUUACGUUGAUGACGACCGUCUGUGUUGCCUCAGUGCAGUACAAGAGAAAGUAUGUUCGUUUGGAUGA
Molecule: ribosomal RNA, 1065 nt
Filed under: Triticum aestivum (bread wheat)
Lineage: Eukaryota; Viridiplantae; Streptophyta; Magnoliopsida; Poales; Poaceae
Description: partial small subunit ribosomal RNA
Source: RNAcentral